UACGGGGGGGGUAAGCGUUGUUCGGAAUUACUGGGCGUAAAGGGCUCGUAGGCGGCCAACUAAGUCAUACGUGAAAUCCCUCAGCUUAACUGGGGAACUGCGUGUGAUACUGGAUGGCUUGGAUUUGGGAGAGGGAUGCGGAAUUCCAGGUGUAGCGGUGAAAUGCGUAGAUAUCAGGAGGAACACCUGUGGUGUAGACAGCUUACUGGACCACUUCUGACGCUGAGACACGAAAGCGUGGGUAGCAAACAGG
RNAcentral lists this ribosomal RNA (253 nucleotides) under uncultured bacterium. RNAcentral describes it as "partial 16S ribosomal RNA". It matches the Rfam family "Bacterial small subunit ribosomal RNA", at positions 524 to 776 of the family's 1533-position model. The record is from RNAcentral.